UAUCUAAAAAAAGCUAUGCCGAUCUUUUCAGUCAAGAAGCGCAACAUUCUAAAACGCCGUUUCCUUUUUAUACAUAUGUAACUCUGGACAUAUGGUCUCCGUCUUUAACUGAAAAGCACACUGCCUUGCCAUGGUCAUUCAAAGCUGGCUAUACUUGCAAUCGCCCAGGCUUCAACCACAUUAUACAGCUUCGCCAAUGGCAGGGUCCAAAGGAAGCCUGUCCGGGUAGAUUUGCUGGA
Non-coding RNA from Paramuricea clavata, 239 nucleotides. Lineage: Eukaryota; Metazoa; Cnidaria; Anthozoa; Malacalcyonacea; Plexauridae. The record is from the annotation of a GenBank genome assembly.